RNAcentral lists this unclassified non-coding RNA (279 nucleotides) under Hevea brasiliensis (rubber tree). Lineage: Eukaryota; Viridiplantae; Streptophyta; Magnoliopsida; Malpighiales; Euphorbiaceae. The record is from RNAcentral.
GUUGAAUCUUUGGUCCGAAGGCUGCCAUAGGGCUCGACUCUCCUCUUUCAUCUCUAUUCUUCGACCUCUUCUGCGUACGGAGGUGCUCAAUUCCGUCUCUGGUCUCCAGCUCUUUGGCUACUCCCUUCAAUUCCCAAUUCAGGGUCUUCAGGGAAGGGAGAUUACGCGUCCAAGGGAAGACUAUGGCUGUAACAGCCCCAGGGCAGCUCAACGUUAACGAGUCUCCUUCGUGGGGAUCUAGAAGUGUCGACUGCUUUGAAAAACUGGAGCAGAUUGGUG